Molecule: ribosomal RNA, 903 nt
Filed under: uncultured bacterium
Lineage: Bacteria
Description: bacterial SSU rRNA
Rfam family: Bacterial small subunit ribosomal RNA
Source: RNAcentral
AGAGUUUGAUCCUGGCUCAGAACGAACGCUGGCGGCGUGGAUUAGGCAUGCAAGUCGAACGAUCCCGCAAGGGAUAGUGGCGAAAGGGUGCGUAACACGUGGGCAAUCUGCCCCCGAAACGGGAAUAACUUCGGGGAACCGAAGCUAAUACCUGAUGACACCGAGCUGCCGCAUGGUGGCACGGUGAAAGGCGUCCGCAAGGGUGCCGAUCGGGGAUGAGCCCGCGGCCUAUCAGCUAGUUGGUGAGGUAACGGCCCACCAAGGCGAUGACGGGUAGCCGGCCUGAGAGGGUGGUCGGCCACAUUGGGACUGAGACACUGCCCAGACUCCUACGGGAGGCUGCAGUCGAGGAUCUUCCGCAAUGGGGGAAACCCUGACGGAGCGACGCCGCGUGGAGGAUGAAGGCCUUCGGGUCGUAAGCUCCUGUCAGUCUGGAAGAAAAUCUGCAGCAAUGUGGAUUGACCGUACAGGCAGAGGAAGCUCCGGCUAACUCCGUGCCAGCAGCCGCGGUAAUACGGAGGGAGCGAGCGUUGUUCGGAAUCAUUGGGCGUAAAGGGCAUGUAGGCGGCUCUGUAAGUCGGGUGUGAAAUCCCAUCUCUCAAGGGUGGAACGGCAUUCGAAACUGCAGGGCUUGAGUUCGGGGGAAGAGAGCGGAAUUCUCGGUGUAGCGGUGAUAUGCGUAGAUAUCGAGAAGAACACCAGCGGCGUAAGCGGCUCUCUAUCCUGAAACUGACGCUGAGGUGCGAAAGCCAGGGGAGCGAACGGGAUUAGAUACCCCGGUAGUCCUGGCCAUAAACGAUGUGCACUUGGUGUUGGGCCGCGAGGCUCAGUGCCGAAGCUAACGCAUUAAGUGCACCGCCUGGGGAGUACGACCGCAAGGUUGAAACUCAAAGGAAUUGACGG